RNAcentral lists this ribosomal RNA (268 nucleotides) under uncultured prokaryote. RNAcentral describes it as "partial 16S ribosomal RNA". It matches the Rfam family "Bacterial small subunit ribosomal RNA", at positions 509 to 776 of the family's 1533-position model. The record is from RNAcentral.
CAGCCGCCGCGGUAAUACGUAGGGUGCAAGCGUUGUCCGGAAUUAUUGGGCGUAAAGAGCUCGUAGGCGGUUUGUUGCGUCGGCUGUGAAAUCCCGAGGCUCAACCUCGGGUCUGCAGUCGAUACGAGCAAACUAGAGUGUUGCAGGGGAGACUGGAAUUCCUGGUGUAGCGGUGAAAUGCGCAGAUAUCAGGAGGAACACCGGUGGCGAAGGCGGGUCUCUGGGCAACAACUGACGCUGAGGAGCGAAAGCGUGGGGAGCGAACAGG